Molecule: ribosomal RNA, 433 nt
Filed under: uncultured bacterium
Lineage: Bacteria
Description: partial 16S ribosomal RNA
Rfam family: Bacterial small subunit ribosomal RNA
Source: RNAcentral
AACGAACGCUGGCGGCAUGCCUAAUACAUGCAAGUCGAACGAGACCUUCGGGUCUAGUGGCGCACGGGUGCGUAACGCGUGGGAACCUGCCCUUAGGUUCGGAAUAACUCCCCGAAAGGGGUGCUAAUACCGGAUAAUGUCUUCGGACCAAAGAUUUAUCGCCUUUGGAUGGGCCCGCGUUGGAUUAGCUAGUUGGUAGGGUAAAAGCCUACCAAGGCGACGAUCCAUAGCUGGUCUGAGAGGAUGUUCAGCCACACUGGGACUGAGACACGGCCCAGACUCCUACGGGAGGCAGCAGUGGGGAAUAUUGGACAAUGGGCGAAAGCCUGAUCCAGCAAUGCCGCGUGAGUGAUGAAGGCCUUAGGGUUGUAAAGCUCUUUUACCCGGGAUGAUAAUGACAGUACCGGGAGAAUAAGCUCCGGCUAACUCCGUG